Molecule: unclassified non-coding RNA, 401 nt
Filed under: soil metagenome
Description: partial contains 5.8S ribosomal RNA, internal transcribed spacer 2, and large subunit ribosomal RNA
Rfam family: 5.8S ribosomal RNA (bases 1-121)
Source: RNAcentral
GAUGAAGAACGUAGCGAAAUGCGAUAAGUAAUGUGAAUUGCAGAAUUCAGUGAAUCAUCGAAUCUUUGAACGCACCUUGCGCCCUUUGGCCAUUCCGAAGGGCAUGCCUGUUUGAGUAUCAUGAACACCUCAACUCUCAUGGCUCGCCAUGAUGAGCUUGGAUUUGGGGGUCUUGCUGGCCUGUGGUCGGCUCCUCUCAAAUGGAUCAGCUUGCCAGUGUUUGGUGGCAUCACCGGUGUGAUAACUAUCUGCGCUUGUGGUUUUCCAUCAGAUAACCUUCAGUGAUGGAGGUUCGCUGGAGCUCAUAAACGUCUCCCCUAAGCGGGGACAGCCCUUUGAAUGUUUGAUCUCAAAUCAGGUAGGACUACCCGCUGAACUUCAGCAUAUCAAUAAGCGGAGGA